CGGCGUGCCUAAUACAUGCAAGUCGAACGCACUCUCGUUUAGAUUGAAGGAGCUUGCUCCUGAUUGAUAAACAUUUGAGUGAGUGGCGACGGGUGAGUAACACGUGGGUAACCUGCCCUAAAGUGGGGGAUAACAUUUGGAAACAGAUGCUAAUACCGCAUGAAACCUAACACCGCAUGGUGUAGGGUUGAAAGAUGGUUUCGGCUAUCACUUUAGGAUGGACCCGCGGUGCAUUAGUUAGUUGGUGAGGUAAAGGCUCACCAAGACCGUGAUGCAUAGCCGACCUGAGAGGGUAAUCGGCCACACUGGGACUGAGACACGGCCCAGACUCCUACGGGAGGCAGCAGUAGGGAAUCUUCCACAAUGGACGAAAGUCUGAUGGAGCAACGCCGCGUGAGUGAAGAAGGUUUUCGGAUCGUAAAACUCUGUUGUUGGAGAAGAAUGUAUCUGAUAGUAACUGAUCAGGUAGUGACGGUAUCCAACCAGAAAGCCACGGCUAACUACGUG
RNAcentral lists this ribosomal RNA (507 nucleotides) under uncultured bacterium. Its description in RNAcentral is "bacterial SSU rRNA". It matches the Rfam family "Bacterial small subunit ribosomal RNA", at positions 40 to 507 of the family's 1533-position model. The record is from RNAcentral.